Suricata suricatta (meerkat) is the source of this 891-nucleotide long non-coding RNA. RefSeq lists it as uncharacterized. The record is from RefSeq and is a predicted model, not a curated record. The transcript has 2 exons. NCBI's taxonomy places the organism in Eukaryota, Metazoa, Chordata, Mammalia, Carnivora, Herpestidae.
CUGAGAGGCAGACUUGGUGGCGGGGCCCACGGCACAGGACAGGGCGCAAAGGCGCAGUCCCCGGAAGCAAGGAGGCCUGUUGACCUCGAAGACCUUGGUAUGUUGUCUGUGAAGGUCCGAGUGGUGACUCAUGGGCACUUGGGGAGACUGAGUCAUCACAGUAGCAGGGACGUUGUUUAGUGGUGUGUGUCUGCUUAAGUCCUGAUCCUGCCCCCGUGCGUGGGCGCAGCCAUGUGGGUGGCCUGCGUGUGUAUCCGUUUUUGUUGACGAGACUGUGCCGGAGUCCAGAGCCCCUGGGCCACAUGCCGGCCCCCUUGCUCAUACAGGUCCCUGUAAUUGGUGUGGACAGACCCCCCACCCACGGAGAUCGCCAGUUCCACGCCAGGGCCCUCCCUGGGCUCUGUGGCCGCCUGGCCUGCGGUAACCCGGGUCUCCCCGUGGUCCUGAGAGCCCUGUAGCCAGCACGGGGACCCCGGCCUGACCCGGACAUGCAGGCCUCCUGAAGGCCACGCGGCCCCCCUCCUGGUCUUCCCUCGUGGGCCUCCUUGGCCUCUGCCCAGUCGCCCCGUGUCCUCAGCCGCUCUAUUGCCCGUUUGCCUCACCCCAGGAGGACAGACAGACCACUGGUGCGGGGACCUUACCUGCAUGUCUGCAGUAAAACAGCCCCUGGCACCCACUGGGUGCUGAGUGCAUGCUUGUUAGUCGGAGGGGCUUGGUCCCGGAUGAAGGACACAGUCGUCAUCCCCUGUGUGCUGGGGCUCGGGGCCCCGACGACAGCCGAGGCGCCGUCCGCACGUCCUGGCUGUCUGCUCGGGGCAGGCGCCUGGCCACUGACUGAAUUUGAAGCCAACAGCUUCCUUUAUUACUGAAGUAAACACUUUUAAAGGCGAA